GCAGUUGUGGCGGAAUGGCAGACGCGCUAGAUUCAGGUUCUAGUGAGGUAAUACUCGUGUGGGUUCAACUCCCAUCAACUGCA
This 83-nucleotide transfer RNA is filed under the name Frisingicoccus caecimuris. It matches the Rfam family "tRNA". Rfam says of the family: Transfer RNA (tRNA) molecules are approximately 80 nucleotides in length. RNAcentral also lists the same sequence under 2 other names. Lineage: Bacteria; Bacillati; Bacillota; Clostridia; Lachnospirales; Lachnospiraceae. The record is from Rfam by way of RNAcentral.